This 27-nucleotide non-coding RNA is filed under the name Mus musculus (house mouse). Lineage: Eukaryota; Metazoa; Chordata; Mammalia; Rodentia; Muridae. The record is from RNAcentral.
UGCUGCAUUUCUCAAAGGAGUUCUUCA